AACACCUUUGUCAGUGAUGUGAACAGUGGGAUUUAUGCACCCUCAGCAAGUUUGCUCAUGACACCAAGCUGUAACAGUCUACCAACACUUGUUGU
Long non-coding RNA from Strigops habroptila (Kakapo), 95 nucleotides. RefSeq lists it as uncharacterized. The transcript has 3 exons. The record is from RefSeq and is a predicted model, not a curated record. Lineage: Eukaryota; Metazoa; Chordata; Aves; Psittaciformes; Psittacidae.